UACAGAGGGGGCAAGCGUUGUUCGGAAUUACUGGGCGUAAAGGGCGCGUAGGCGGCCUUCUAAGUCGAACGUGAAAUCCCUGGGCUCAACCCAGGAACUGCGUCCGAUACUGGAAGGCUUGAAUCCGGGAGAGGGAUGCGGAAUUCCAGGUGUAGCGGUGAAAUGCGUAGAUAUCUGGAGGAACACCGGUGGCGAAGGCGGCAUCCUGGACCGGUAUUGACGCUGAGGCGCGAAAGCCAGGGGAGUAAACGGG
This 253-nucleotide ribosomal RNA is filed under the name uncultured bacterium. RNAcentral's name for it is "partial 16S ribosomal RNA". It matches the Rfam family "Bacterial small subunit ribosomal RNA", at positions 524 to 776 of the family's 1533-position model. The record is from RNAcentral.